RNAcentral lists this ribosomal RNA (497 nucleotides) under uncultured bacterium. Its description in RNAcentral is "partial 16S ribosomal RNA". It matches the Rfam family "Bacterial small subunit ribosomal RNA", at positions 28 to 507 of the family's 1533-position model. The record is from RNAcentral.
GACGAACGCUGGCGGCGUGCCUAAUACAUGCAAGUUGAGCGAUGAAGCUUGGUGCUUGCACCAAUUUGAAGAGCAGCGAACGGGUGAGUAACGCGUGGGGAAUCUGCCUUUGAGCGGGGGGCAACAUUUGGAAACGAAUGCUAAUACCGCAUAACAACUUUAAACAUAAGUUUUAAGUUUGAAAGAUGCAAUUGCAUCACUCAAAGAUGAUCCCGCGUUGUAUUAGCUAGUUGGUGAGGUAAAGGCUCACCAAGGCGAUGAUACAUAGCCGACCUGAGAGGGUGAUCGGCCACAUUGGGACUGAGACACGGCCCAAACUCCUACGGGAGGCAGCAGUAGGGAAUCUUCGGCAAUGGACGAAAGUCUGACCGAGCAACGCCGCGUGAGUGAAGAAGGUUUUCGGAUCGUAAAACUCUGUUGGUAGAGAAGAACGUUGGUGAGAGUGGAAAGCUCAUCAAGUGACGGUAACUACCCAGAAAGGGACGGCUAACUACGUG